This 394-nucleotide ribosomal RNA is filed under the name uncultured bacterium. RNAcentral's name for it is "bacterial SSU rRNA". It matches the Rfam family "Bacterial small subunit ribosomal RNA", at positions 109 to 499 of the family's 1533-position model. The record is from RNAcentral.
AGUAAUACAUCGGAACGUAUCCUAAAGUGGGGGAUAACGCAUCGAAAGAUGUGCUAAUACCGCAUAUACUCUGAGGAGGAAAGUAGGGGAUCGAAAGACCUUAUGCUUUUGGAGCGGCCGAUGUCUGAUUAGCUAGUUGGUAAGGUAAUGGCUUACCAAGGCAACGAUCAGUAGUUGGUCUGAGAGGACGACCAGCCACACUGGGACUGAGACACGGCCCAGACUCCUACGGGAGGCAGCAGUGGGGAAUUUUGGACAAUGGGCGCAAGCCUGAUCCAGCAAUGCCGCGUGAGUGAAGAAGGCCUUCGGGUUGUAAAGCUCUUUCAGUUGAGAAGAAAAGAUUGUAACUAAUAAUUACAAUCCUUGACGGUAUCAACAGAAGAAGCACCGGCUA